Molecule: ribosomal RNA, 372 nt
Filed under: uncultured organism
Description: bacterial SSU rRNA
Rfam family: Bacterial small subunit ribosomal RNA
Source: RNAcentral
CGAGUGCUUCAAGCGUUGUCCGGAAUCAUUGGGCGUAAAGGGUGUGUAGGUGGUUAUAUUAGUCUCGUGUUAAAUUUCCUGGCUCAACCGGGAAGCUGCAUGGGAAACGGUAUGACUAGAGGACGGUAGAGGUCUCUGGAACUCAUAGUGUAGCGGUGAAAUGCGUUGAUAUUAUGGGGAACACCAAAAGCGAAGGCAAGAGACUGGACCGCUCCUGACACUGAAACACGAAAGCGUGGGUCGCGAAUGGGAUUAGAUACCCCAGUAGUCCACGCCCUAAACGAUGACAACUAGAUAUGGGGAGUAUCGACCCUCUCCGUGUCGUAGCAAACGCGUUAAGUUGUCCGCCUGGGUAGUACGGCCGCAAGGUUG